GGGUCAUUAGGGAAGUAAAGUCGUAACAGGUUUCCGUAGGUGAACCUGCGGAAGGAUCAUUAUUGAAAUAAACCUGAUGGGUUGUUGCUGGCUCUCUAGGGAGCAUGUGCACGCCUUGUCAUCUUUAUGUCUCCACCUGUGCACCUUUUGUAGACCUUUCGGGGUCUAUGUUGCUUCAUUUUUCCACAAUGUAUGUUAAUAGAAUGUUGUGCCCUGUAUAAUAUAUACAACUUUCAGCAACGGAUCUCUUGGCUCUCGCAUCGAUGAAGAACGCAGCGAAAUGCGAUAAGUAAUGUGAAUUGCAGAAUUCAGUGAAUCAUCGAAUCUUUGAACGCACCUUGCGCUCCUUGGUAUUCCGAGGAGCAUGCCUGUUUGAGUGUCAUUAAUAUACAUAUUAUCAAGCCUUCUCUUGUAGAAGGGUUUGGAUGUGGGGGUUUGCUGGCCUCUUAAUCUUAAGAGUUCAGCUCUCCUGAAAUGCAUUAGCAGAACAACCUUAUGUUCAUUGGUGUGAUAACUAUCUACGCUAUUGAAUGUUGAGGGCAAAGUUCAGCUUUCUAACGGUCCUUGGACAACUCAUCAUUAAUGUGACCUCAAAUCAGGUAGGACUACCCGCUGAACUUAAGCAUAUCAAUAAGCGG
Molecule: ribosomal RNA, 638 nt
Filed under: Cortinarius aureomarginatus
Lineage: Eukaryota; Fungi; Basidiomycota; Agaricomycetes; Agaricales; Cortinariaceae
Description: eukaryotic LSU rRNA
Rfam family: 5.8S ribosomal RNA (bases 229-382)
Source: RNAcentral